Molecule: ribosomal RNA, 627 nt
Filed under: uncultured Pseudomonadota bacterium
Lineage: Bacteria; Pseudomonadati; Pseudomonadota
Description: bacterial SSU rRNA
Rfam family: Bacterial small subunit ribosomal RNA
Source: RNAcentral
GAGUUUGAUCAUGGCUCAGAUCCGAACGCUGGCGGCAGGCCUAACACAUGCAAGUCGAGCGGUUGAAGGUAGCUUGCUACCUGAUGCAGCGGCGAACGGGUGAGUAAUGCAUGGGAAUCUGCCUGGUAGUGGGGGACAACGUCUCGAAAGGGACGCUAAUACCGCAUACGCCCUACGGGGGAAAGGGGGGGAUCUUCGGACCUCUCGCUAUCAGAUGAGCCCAUGUCGGAUUAGCUAGUUGGUGGGGUAAAGGCCUACCAAGGCGACGAUCCGUAACUGGUCUGAGAGGAUGAUCAGUCACACUGGAACUGAGACACGGUCCAGACUCCUACGGGAGGCAGCAGUGGGGAAUAUUGGACAAUGGGCGCAAGCCUGAUCCAGCCAUGCCGCGUGUGUGAAGAAGGCCUUCGGGUUGUAAAGCACUUUCAGUGGGGAGAAAGGUGAUUCACCUAAUACGUGAGUCAAUUGAUGUUACCCACAGAAGAAGCACCGGCUAACUCCGUGCCAGCAGCCGCGGUAAUACGGAGGGUGCAAGCGUUAAUCGGAAUUACUGGGCGUAGAGCGCACGUAGGUGGUUUGUUAAGCUAGCUGUGAAAUCCCCGGGCUCAACCUGGGCACCUGCAGUUA